GCAUGGACUCCCCCCACACCCUGCACUGGCUUCUGGAGACACCCAUCGUGCUAAACCUUAGCCUGGACUCUGAGGUCUCCAGUUUUCCUGCCUACACUCAGCUGCUGGUAAGAGCCGGAGUCACAUAGCUGUGCCACCUGCGGUAGUGCUGCUGGCAGAGUGUGGUAGAGCCUGGCUGCGGUGCUGGGGCUGCGCUGUGUAGACAGUUUCCUCUGUCCGCUCCGUGCUGCUUUACCUCCUCAGUGGGUGUUGCUCCUGAGGGGAGUUUUUGAGGACCAUCAGCUCCCCCACCCACAGCCCCCUGCUUGUGUCCCCUGCACUAAACCAAAACGCCAGCCCCCCGGGACCCCUGCUGGGCAUGAAUGGACUGAGAGAGCUCCCUCUGGACAGCGUCAAGGGUCUAAUGAUCAACUGCACAAGUUGAAUCAGAAAUGAACAACGAUUGGGGAAGAAGUGGGGAUGACAGUGCACUGCAGAAAAAGGAGGUUGUGUGGUCCAGUGGUUAAAGAAAAGUGCUUGUAACCAGGAGGUUCUCAGUUCAAAACCCACCUCAGCCACUGACUCAUUGUGUGACCCUGAGCAAGUCACUUCACCUCCUUGUGCUCCGUCUUUCGGGUGAGACGUAGUUGUAAGUGACUCUGCAGCUGAUGCAUAGUUCACACACCCUAGUCUCUGCAAGUCGCCUUGGAUAAAGGUGUCUGCUA
Acipenser ruthenus (sterlet) is the source of this 704-nucleotide long non-coding RNA. RefSeq lists it as uncharacterized. The transcript has 3 exons. NCBI's taxonomy places the organism in Eukaryota, Metazoa, Chordata, Actinopteri, Acipenseriformes, Acipenseridae. The record is from RefSeq and is a predicted model, not a curated record.